GAUCCUGCCGGACCCGACUGCUAUUUGGGUGAGGAUAAGCCAUGCGAGUCGAAUGGGAUACCUAAAUUUCCCAUGGCAGACUGCUCAAUAACACAUGAUCAACUUACCCUAUAGAGAAAAAUAACCUCGGGAAACUGAGGAUAAUGUUUCAUAGUUGAAAAGGCUUGGAAAAGUUUUUCGACCAAAGGGAUAAGAAAAAUGGUUUUUAUCUGCUAUAGGAUAGGAUCGUGGUCGAUUAUGGUUGUUGGUGAGGUAAUGGCUCACCAAGCCGAUAAUCGAUAGGGGCCGUGAGAGCGGGAGCCCCGAGAUGGGUACUGAGACAGCGACCCAGGUCUUACGAGACGCAGCAGGCGCGGAACCUCCGCAAUACACGAAAGUGUGACGGGGUUACCCAAAGUGUUCAAUUUUGAACUGUGGUAGGUGAGUAAUGUCCCCUACUAGAAAGGAGAGGGCAAGGCUGGUGCCAGCCGCCGCGGUAAAACCAGCUCUUCAAGUGGUCGGGAUAAUUAUUGGGCUUAAAGUGUCCGUAGCCGGUUUAGUAAGUUCCUGGUAAAAUCGGGUAGCUUAACUAUCUGCAUGCUAGGAAUACUGCUAUACUAGAGGGCGGGAGAGGUCUGAGGUACUACAGGGGUAGGGGUGAAAUCUUAUAAUCCUUGUAGGACCACCAGUGGCGAAGGCGUCAGACUGGAACGUGCCUGACGGUGAGGGACGAAAGCCAGGGGAGCGAACCGGAUUAGAUACCCGGGUAGUCCUGGCCGUAAACGAUGCAUACUAGGUGAUGGCAUGGCCAUGAGCCGUGUCAGUGCCGUAGGGAAACCGUUAAGUGUGCCGCCUGGGAAGUACGGUCGCAAGGCUAAAACUUAAAGGAAUUGGCGGGGGAGCACCACAAGGGGUGAAGCCUGCGGUUCAAUUGGAUUCAACGCCGGGAA
RNAcentral lists this ribosomal RNA (929 nucleotides) under uncultured archaeon. RNAcentral describes it as "bacterial SSU rRNA". It matches the Rfam family "Archaeal small subunit ribosomal RNA", at positions 10 to 924 of the family's 1478-position model. The record is from RNAcentral.